UUUUUCUAUAAGGCAUGAUAGCUGGCGUACACUGCACUUUCUAUAUAUAAUUUUUUUACUACGCUCUAAGGCUAUGAAAAGCUAGAACGUGAAGCUCCCCUCUAACCGCCCAGCACUAUAACUAUUUGAAUCUUUAGAAACUGUUUUAAAAAGAAGCCACCGUGCCGAUGAAGAGGGUCUACGUAAAACUGAAUGCCUUAACCGAGCUUGACUUAAGAGAGGCGAUAAAUAGAUCUUUUAGAGCUCCGAUACUUAUUUGGCCGUCUUACUUCAUAUUUGGGCCACAUGUAAAGCAGAAGCCUUUUUCCAAUUUAUAGGUUACGCUUGUGUUAAGAUCUUAAAAAACUGUGUUUAGUCUCUUUUGAGUUUGGCUAAAACCUAGCUGGAAAUUUUUUUACAGCACGAGUCUCUAGACUGUUCAGGUUUAUAUGCGGAAUUGUUUGAAGAUUGGCAUAUUACGACCGGGCUCUUAUGAGAGAUGAGAAUUCUGCUUAGUUUAAUUUGUGAAGCAAGUAUGAAGUUUUUUACUUUUAGGCAAUUAGAAGGUAAACACUUGUGUUAU
Zophobas morio is the source of this 562-nucleotide long non-coding RNA. RefSeq lists it as uncharacterized. The transcript has 5 exons. NCBI's taxonomy places the organism in Eukaryota, Metazoa, Arthropoda, Insecta, Coleoptera, Tenebrionidae. The record is from RefSeq and is a predicted model, not a curated record.